Molecule: ribosomal RNA, 540 nt
Filed under: Triticum aestivum (bread wheat)
Lineage: Eukaryota; Viridiplantae; Streptophyta; Magnoliopsida; Poales; Poaceae
Description: partial small subunit ribosomal RNA
Source: RNAcentral
AUGCAGAGCCAGAUCGUGUGCCAUGGGUGCAGGAGCGUUCUACUCUACCCCAGAGGGGCCCCGAGCGUGUGCUGCGCCGUGUGCCAUGCCGUCACCAACGCUCCCCCUCCAGGAAUGGAGAUGGCUCAGCUUAUAUGCGUCGGCUGUCGAACUUUAUUGAUGUAUACUCGCAAUGCAACUACUGUCAGAUGCUCAUGUUGUGAUACAGUCAACCUUGCCAGACCAGCACCGCCAGUGAAUAGUAUAGCUCAUGUGAACUGUGGCCAGUGCCAGACGGUGUUAAUGUAUCCAUACGGAGCAUCUUCUGUCAAAUGUGCUAUCUGCAAUUUUAUUACAAACAUUGGAAUGAACACCGUGAGACCUUUGCCACCUACAAUGCAUGCACCAAACGGAAUUUCAUAUAGUGUCCCAUCAACUUCUGCGCCAUCCACUCAGUCGCAGAAUGUAACGGUGGUCGUCGAAAACCCAAUGACAGUAGAUGACAAGGGAAAACUGGUGAGCAACGUCGUAGUCGGGGUUACGUCCGGCGGGAAAAAGUAG